This 723-nucleotide ribosomal RNA is filed under the name Sylvirana spinulosa (fine-spined frog). RNAcentral describes it as "partial 12S ribosomal RNA". The stretch from base 1 to 481 matches the Rfam family "Bacterial small subunit ribosomal RNA", at positions 852 to 1533 of the family's 1533-position model. The record is from RNAcentral. Lineage: Eukaryota; Metazoa; Chordata; Amphibia; Anura; Ranidae.
UUAACUUACACCAAAAACGCCAGGGAACUACGAGCAAUGCUUAAAACCCAAAGGAUUUGACGGUGUCCCACCCACCUAGAGGAGCCUGUUCUAUAAUCGAUAAUCCCCGCUAUACCCAACCACCCCUAGCUCUUCAGUCUGUAUACCUCCGUCGAAAGCCUACCAUGUGAACGUUUUCAGUAGGCCCAAUGAUCCCCAUCAAUACGUCAGGUCAAGGUGCAGCUCACGGAGUGGAAAGCAAUGGGCUACAAUUUCUAACUUAGAACAAACGAAAGACUAUGUGAAAUCACAGUCAUGAAGGCGGAUUUAGUAGUAAAAAGAAAAUAGAGAGUUCUUUUUAACCCGGCUCUGGGACGCGUACACACCGCCCGUCACCCUCUUCAACAACCUCCAUUAAGUCUAUAACCCUACACUAUACCUUAGAAGAGGCAAGUCGUAACAUGGUAAGUGUACUGGAAAGUGCACUUGGAUUACACAAAAUGUAGCUUAACUAAAGCCCCUCGCUUACACCGAGGCAAUGUCUGUUCGACCCAGAUCAUCUUGAGCCUAAAAUCUAGCCCACAUAAAUCCCAUGAAACCCUCAACCCACUGCCUACAACAAAACAUUUUAACAUUUUAGUACAGGAGAUCAAAAAAUUCCUAGGCGCUUCAGAUAUAGUACCGUAAGGGAACGAUGAAAUAAAAAUGAAAUAACUUUAAAGCCCCAAAUAGCAGAGACUCCCC